RNAcentral lists this long non-coding RNA (776 nucleotides) under Solanum tuberosum (potato). Its description in RNAcentral is "long non-coding RNA (STUB_LNC010400)". The record is from RNAcentral. Lineage: Eukaryota; Viridiplantae; Streptophyta; Magnoliopsida; Solanales; Solanaceae.
CUCUUCUUCUUUUUCACACCCCACCCGUAUCUUCUUCUUAUUCCUCAUUUUUAUUCUUUUAUUUUUCAUACCCUAUUUUCAUCCACAUCACCCCCACCCCACCUCCCCAGAAUCAUCUUCCCCUCCCCCCCUCCCCUCCCCUCCUCAAUCAUAUACUAUUUUAAUUCUUCUCCAAUUUCACCAUAUAUAUUAUAUUCGAUUUUUCUCUUAAACUUUGUUGGUGGUUGAUAAAAUUGAUGUCUGAGUUUUAAAAAAAAAUAAUGGUGGAUUUAUUGGUGAUGUUUGGUAGGUGGCAAAGAAGAGGGAAUUGAAGGUGGUGAAGAAAAAAAAUUAAAAUUGAUAAUGGUGGAGGUGAUAUUUGGUGGUGGAUUUUGUAUUUUUUAAUGGUGAUGAUGUGAUUCUAGUGAUGAGUUUGGUUAUGGGUGUUGAAUUUUGUGGUGGUUCUUUACAAUUUUUGUGGGAAUGACGGUGGUAGUGUGACUCCGAUGGUGGGUUUGAUCGUAUGUGGGGAAAUUUGUGGUGUCCAGUUUAAUUUUUGAUGGUGAAAUAUAUAAAUUUGGUACUAAUACGAUGGUAAUGGUGGUGGUUCCAUGGUGUUGUUCUUUGAAGAAGAAAUAAUUGAAUGAUAUGUCGAUUUUUUUUCGAAAUCUAACAAGACAUCUGAUGUGGUAGUGAGAUAACAUUGACGUGACACGAGUAUGAUACACCUCACAUUGUGAAAAUAGUGUUAUAGGUCUUAUAGGUAAAUAAAUUUACUCUUGAAUAGUAUAGGGGUG